AUUGAACGCUGGCGGCAGGCCUAACACAUGCAAGUCGAGCGGAUGAAGGGAGCUUGCUCCUGGAUUCAGCGGCGGACGGGUGAGUAAUGCCUAGGAAUCUGCCUGGUAGUGGGGGAUAACGUCCGGAAACGGGCGCUAAUACCGCAUACGUCCUGAGGGAGAAAGUGGGGGAUCUUCGGACCUCACGCUAUCAGAUGAGCCUAGGUCGGAUUAGCUAGUUGGUGGGGUAAAGGCCUACCAAGGCGACGAUCCGUAACUGGUCUGAGAGGAUGAUCAGUCACACUGGAACUGAGACACGGUCCCGACUCCUACGGGAGGCAGCAGUGGGGAAUAUUGGACAAUGGGCGAAAGCCUGAUCCAGCCAUGCCGCGUGUGUGAAGAAGGUCUUCGGAUUGUAAAGCACUUUAAGUUGGGAGGAAGGGCAGUAAGUUAAUACCUUGCUGUUUUGACGGUACCAACAGAAUAAGCUCCGGCUAACUUCGUG
Molecule: ribosomal RNA, 484 nt
Filed under: uncultured bacterium
Lineage: Bacteria
Description: partial 16S ribosomal RNA
Rfam family: Bacterial small subunit ribosomal RNA
Source: RNAcentral